Molecule: ribosomal RNA, 497 nt
Filed under: uncultured bacterium
Lineage: Bacteria
Description: partial 16S ribosomal RNA
Rfam family: Bacterial small subunit ribosomal RNA
Source: RNAcentral
GAUGAACGCUGGCGGCGUGCCUAAUACAUGCCAGUCGAGCGAACAGACGAGGAGCUUGCUCCGCUGACGUUAGCGGCGGACGGGUGAGUAACACGUGGAUAACCUACCUAUAAGACUGGGAUAACUUCGGGAAACCGGAGCUAAUACCGGAUAAUAUCUUGAACCGCAUGGUUCAAUAGUGAAAUACGGUUUUGCUGUCUCUUAUAGAUGGAUCCGGGCCGCAUGAGCUAGUUGGUGAGGUCACGGCCUACCACGGCGACGAUGCGUAGCCGACCUGAGAGGGUGAUCGGCCACACUGGAAGGGAGACACGGUCCAGACUCCUGCGGGAGGCAGCAGUAGGGAAUCGGACGCAAUGGGCGAAAGCCUGACGGAGCAACGCCGCGUGAGUGAUGAAGGUCUUCGGAGCGUAAAGCUCUGUUACGAGGGAAAAACAAAUGUGUAAGUAAAUAUGCACGUAGUGACGGUACCGAAUAAGAAAGCCCCGGCUAACUACGUG